CGGGGAGGUAGUGACGAAAAAUAACGAUACGGGACUCAUCCGAGGCCCCGUAAUCGGAAUGAGUACACUUUAAAUCCUUUAACCAGGAUCCAUUGGAGGGCAAGUCUGGUGCCAGCAGCCGCGGUAAUUCCAGCUCCAAUAGCGUAUAUUAAAGUUGUUGCGGUUAAAAAGCUCGUAGUUGAAUCUGUGUGCCACGCUGUCGGUUCACCGCUCGCGGUGUUUAACUGGCAUGAUUGUGGGACGUCCUACCGGUGGAUUUAGCUAUAUCAUGUAUGGCGGUCCAACUAAUAUCCCAUCGCGGUGCUCUUCACCGAGUGUCGAGGUGGGCCGGUACGUUUACUUUGAACAAAUUAGAGUGCUUAAAGCAGGCUUAUUUCGCCUGAAUAUUGUGUGCAUGGAAUAAUGGAAUAGGACCUCGGUUCUAUUUUGUUGGUUUUCGGAACCCCGAGGUAAUGAUUAAUAGGGACAGAUGGGGGCAUUCGUAUUGCGACGUUAGAGGUGAAAUUCUUGGAUCGUCGCAAGACGAACAGAAGCGAAAGCAUUUGCCAAAAAUGUUUUCAUUAAUCAAGAACGAAAGUUAGAGGUUCGAAGGCGAUCAGAUACCGCCCUAGUUCUAACCAUAAACGAUGCCAGCUAGCGAUCCGCCGAAGUUCCUCCGAUGACUCGGCGGGCAGCUUCCGGGAAACCAAAGCUUUUGGGUUCCGGGGGAAGUAUGGUUGCAAAGCUGAAACUUAAAGGAAUUGACGGAAGGGCACCACCAGGAGUGGAGCCUGCGGCUUAAUUUGACUC
RNAcentral lists this ribosomal RNA (789 nucleotides) under Centistes sp. 5 JMS-2015. RNAcentral describes it as "SSU rRNA". It matches the Rfam family "Eukaryotic small subunit ribosomal RNA", at positions 457 to 1201 of the family's 1831-position model. Lineage: Eukaryota; Metazoa; Arthropoda; Insecta; Hymenoptera; Braconidae. The record is from RNAcentral.